UACGUAGGGGGCAAGCGUUGUCCGGAAUUAUUGGGCGUAAAGAGCGUGUAGGCGGUCCGGUAAGUCAGCUGUGAAAGUCAAGGGCUCAACCCUUGAAAGCCGGUUGAUACUGUCGGGCUAGAGUCCGGAAGAGGAGAGUGGAAUUCCUGGUGUAGCGGUGAAAUGCGCAGAUAUCAGGAAGAACACCCGUGGCGAAGGCGGCUCUCUGGGACGGUACUGACGCUGAGACGCGAAAGCGUGGGGAGCGAACAGG
This 253-nucleotide ribosomal RNA is filed under the name uncultured bacterium. RNAcentral's name for it is "partial 16S ribosomal RNA". It matches the Rfam family "Bacterial small subunit ribosomal RNA", at positions 524 to 776 of the family's 1533-position model. The record is from RNAcentral.